This 211-nucleotide small RNA is filed under the name Nostoc sp. Its description in RNAcentral is "c-di-AMP sequence". It matches the Rfam family "c-di-AMP riboswitch aptamer (ydaO/yuaA leader)". From Rfam's summary of the family: This family represents a conserved RNA structure found upstream of the ydaO and yuaA genes in Bacillus subtilis and related genes in other bacteria. Lineage: Bacteria; Bacillati; Cyanobacteriota; Cyanophyceae; Nostocales; Nostocaceae. The record is from RNAcentral.
AAAAUCAGUCUGCCUAAUCCAUGCUUACCUUAAAAGUUUAUUCACAGGGUCAGCUAGGAGCGGAGGAACCAAGUAUGGGGCGUAUCUGCCAAAAAAGCUCAAGCUAAGGUGUGAAAAGUAAAGUUCCUAUCUUAGAACUAGAGUAUUGAAAGAAGGACAUCUCUCAGUCCUAGCCCGUCAGCUAACUUCGUAGGCAUUGGGAGGAGAUUGA